GACGAACGCUGGCGGCGUGCCUAAUACAUGCAAGUAGAACGCUGAAGGAGGAGCUUGCUUCUCUGGAUGAGUUGCGAACGGGUGAGUAACGCGUAGGUAACCUGCCUGUUAGCGGGGGAUAACUAUUGGAAACGAUAGCUAAUACCGCAUAAGAGUAGAUGUUGCAUGACAUUUGCUUAAAAGGUGCAAUUUCAUCACUACCAGAUGGACCUUCGUUGUAUUAUCUAGUUGGUGGUGUAACGGCUCACCAAGGCGACGAUACUUAGCCGACCUGAGAGGGGGAACGGCCAAACUGGGAAUGAGAAAAGGCCCAGAAUCCUAAGGGAGGCAGGAGGAGGGAAUCUUUGGCAAUAGACGGAAGUCUGAACGAGGAAAGCCGGGUGAGGGAAGAAGGUUUUCGGAUCGUAAAGAUCUGGUGUAAGAGGAGAACGAGUGUGAGAGUGGAAAGUGCACACUGUGACGGUAUCUUAUCAGAAAGGGACGGCUAACUACGUG
RNAcentral lists this ribosomal RNA (495 nucleotides) under uncultured bacterium. RNAcentral's name for it is "partial 16S ribosomal RNA". It matches the Rfam family "Bacterial small subunit ribosomal RNA", at positions 28 to 507 of the family's 1533-position model. The record is from RNAcentral.